GAUGAACGCUGGCGGCGUGCCUAAUACAUGCAAGUCGAGCGAACAGACGAGGAGCUUGCUCCUCUGACGUUAGCGGCGGACGGGUGAGUAACACGUGGAUAACCUACCUAUAAGACUGGGAUAACUUCGGGAAACCGGAGCUAAUACCGGAUAACAUGUUGAACCGCAUGGUUCAACAGUGAAGGACGGUCUUGCUGUCACUUAUAGAUGGAUCCGCGCCGCAUUAGCUAGUUGGUAAGGUAACGGCUUACCAAGGCAACGAUGCGUAGCCGACCUGAGAGGGUGAUCGGCCACACUGGAACUGAGACACGGUCCAGACUCCUACGGGAGGCAGCAGUAGGGAAUCUUCCGCAAAGGGCGAAAUCCUGACGGAGCAACGCCGCGUGAGUGAAGAAGGUCUUCGGAUCGUAAAACUCUGUUAUUAGGGAAGAACAAAUGUGUAAGUAACUAUGCACGUCUUGACGGUACCUAAUCAGAAAGCCACGGCUAACUACGUG
This 497-nucleotide ribosomal RNA is filed under the name uncultured bacterium. Its description in RNAcentral is "partial 16S ribosomal RNA". It matches the Rfam family "Bacterial small subunit ribosomal RNA", at positions 28 to 507 of the family's 1533-position model. The record is from RNAcentral.